ACCCAUGACUAUGACGUCAAGAUGCGCAACGUGGUGCGGUUCCUUGAAAACGGCGACAAGGUGAAAGUCACCUUGCGGUUCCGCGGCCGCGAAAUGGCCCACCAGAACCUGGGCCGGGAAUUGCUGGAACGCGUGGCCGAGGACGUCAAGGAAAUCGGCAAGAUCGAAAACAUGCCGAAGAUGGAAGGCCGGCAGAUGAUCAUGAUGAUCGGCCCGGUGACGAAAUAACGCCCAAGUAAGCCCUAUACGCCCCGCCCUUUCGGCGGGGCGUUUUCGUUGCAAGACUGCAGCAUGUGGGAAGAGCGGUUCAAGACGCCAGACUAUGUGUUCGGCA
This 334-nucleotide unclassified non-coding RNA is filed under the name Lutimaribacter saemankumensis. Its description in RNAcentral is "Long range pseudoknot". Lineage: Bacteria; Pseudomonadati; Pseudomonadota; Alphaproteobacteria; Rhodobacterales; Roseobacteraceae. The record is from RNAcentral.